RNAcentral lists this ribosomal RNA (305 nucleotides) under uncultured bacterium. RNAcentral describes it as "bacterial SSU rRNA". It matches the Rfam family "Bacterial small subunit ribosomal RNA", at positions 334 to 653 of the family's 1533-position model. The record is from RNAcentral.
UUUUCCUACGGGACGCAGCAGUGGGGAAUAUUGGACAAUGGGGGGAACCCUGAUCCAGCGACGCCGCGUGAGUGAAGAAGUAUUUCGGUAUGUAAAGCUCUAUCAGCAGGGAAGAAAGAAAUGACGGUACCUGACUAAGAAGCCCCGGCUAACUACGUGCCAGCAGCCGCGGUAAUACGUAGGGGGCAAGCGUUAUCCGGAUUUACUGGGUGUAAAGGGAGCGUAGACGGCUGAGCAAGUCAGAAGUGAAAGCCCGGGGCUCAACCCCGGGACUGCUUUUGAAACUGCGGAGCUGGAGUGCAGGG